Long non-coding RNA from Pezoporus occidentalis (night parrot), 663 nucleotides. RefSeq lists it as uncharacterized. The transcript has 2 exons. NCBI's taxonomy places the organism in Eukaryota, Metazoa, Chordata, Aves, Psittaciformes, Psittacidae. The record is from RefSeq and is a predicted model, not a curated record.
AACAUGCUUACUGAAAGAGACAAAAUUCGUCAUGAAGAGUCAAACAUUUUCUUUGUAAUGGAUUGCCACAUUGCAGACAUUGUUCCCUUUCACCAGAAGAGCCUGCAUAAAUGUAUUUUAAACUAAUUACCUUUAGGUGGAAAAUAUGACUUGCUUUCAGCUUUGUGAGGCCAGUCCACCACAAGAGGUCCAAACCUACGAAAGCUGGCAGUGAUCUCAUCUACAAAAAACAAAUGAGGCACCUUAGAGAAUCUGAAGACUGACAGUGGCAAGUAAAAAUUCUUACUUUCAAAAAUUCCCAAAACCAAACAAGCUAUUUUCUACACUUAUGAAGAAAAGAAAAUUGGACCUUUUUAAAGUAACUGUAUGAAAGCCAAUUCCCACACCUCACCAAUGUAACUUGUUCACAGUACCUUCAUCAAUGUCAGGAGGAAGACCUCCAACAAACACCUUUCUAGAAUAGCGUUCCACUCUUUCACCAUUCUGACAUCGUGUUGGAGAGCUGAGACCCGAUGAUAAAGACUGAUCACCAUGACUGUCAUCUAGGAAGCCAUCUUCAAAAGGAAAGAGUGAAGACCGACCUGUAACAGAUUUUGUAGUAUCUAUAGUUAACGCUGUUUCCUGGAGAAUUAAAUAUUUCAGUAAAAAUUGUUAUUCUUUUAA